RNAcentral lists this ribosomal RNA (253 nucleotides) under uncultured bacterium. RNAcentral's name for it is "partial 16S ribosomal RNA". It matches the Rfam family "Bacterial small subunit ribosomal RNA", at positions 524 to 775 of the family's 1533-position model. The record is from RNAcentral.
UACGUAGGGAGCAAGCGUUGUCCGGAAUUAUUGGGCGUAAAGAGCUCGUAGGCGGCUUGGUCAGUCGGAUGUGAAACCUCCAGGCUCAACCUGGAGUCGCCAUCCGAUACUGCCAUGGCUAGAGUCCGGUAGGGGCCCACGGAACUCCUGGUGUAGCGGUGAAAUGCGCAGAUAUCAGGAAGAACACCGAUGGCGAAGGCAGUGGGCUGGGCCGGCACUGACGCUGAGGAGCGAAAGCGUGGGGAGCGAACAG